RNAcentral lists this ribosomal RNA (493 nucleotides) under Escherichia coli. RNAcentral's name for it is "partial 23S ribosomal RNA". It matches the Rfam family "Bacterial large subunit ribosomal RNA", at positions 375 to 874 of the family's 2925-position model. Lineage: Bacteria; Pseudomonadati; Pseudomonadota; Gammaproteobacteria; Enterobacterales; Enterobacteriaceae. The record is from RNAcentral.
GUACACAAAAAUGCACAUACUGUGAGCUCGAUGAGUAGGGCGGGACACGUGGUAUCCUGUCUGAAUAUGGGGGGACCAUCCUCCAAGGCUAAAUACUCCUGACUGACCGAUAGUGAACCAGUACCGUGAGGGAAAGGCGAAAAGAACCCCGGCGAGGGGAGUGAAAAAGAACCUGAAACCGUGUACGUACAAGCAGUGGGAGCCUCUUAAUGGGGUGACUGCGUACCUUUUGUAUAAUGGGUCAGCGACUUAUAUUCUGUAGCAAGGUUAACCGAAUAGGGGAGCCGAAGGGAAACCGAGUCUUAACUGGGCGUUAAGUUGCAGGGUAUAGACCCGAAACCCGGUGAUCUAGCCAUGGGCAGGUUGAAGGUUGGGUAACACUAACUGGAGGACCGAACCGACUAAUGUUGAAAAAUUAGCGGAUGACUUGUGGCUGGGGGUGAAAGGCCAAUCAAACCGGGAGAUAGCUGGUUCUCCCCGAAAGCUAUUUAGG